Molecule: ribosomal RNA, 477 nt
Filed under: uncultured bacterium
Lineage: Bacteria
Description: partial 16S ribosomal RNA
Rfam family: Bacterial small subunit ribosomal RNA
Source: RNAcentral
AUUGAACGCUGGCGGCAUGCCUUACACAUGCAAGUCGAACGGUAACAGGUUAAGCUGACGAGUGGCGAACGGGUGAGUAAUGUAUCGGAACGUGCCCAGUCGUGGGGGAUAACUGCACGAAAGAGCAGCUAAUACCGCAUACGACCUGAGGGUGAAAGCGGGGGAUCGCAAGACCUCGCGCGAUUGGAGCGGCCGAUAUCAGAUUAGGUAGUUGGGGAGGUAAAGGUCCACCAAGCCGACGAUCUGUAGCUGGUCUGAGAGGACGACCAGCCACACUGGGACUGAGACACGGCCCAGACUCCUACGGGAGGCAGCAGUGGGGAAUUUUGGACAAUGGGCGCAAGCCUGAUCCAGCCAUGCCGCGUGAGGGAAGAAGGCCUUCGGGUUGUAAACCGCUUUUGUCAGGGAAGAAAAGGUUCUGGCUAAUACCUGGGACUCAUGACGGUACCUGAAGAAUAAGCACCGGCUAACUACGUG